UGGGGUUGAAUGCUCCUUGGUGGAUGUGGGUGAUGCUCGCUUUCAGUUUGUUCUAGUGGUGUCUUCUGGAAAAAAUCCAUCUUCAUUGCCUGAUAUCUUAAAGCUGUUUGGGAAGAAUGCAGUGCCUCAGUACAUCGUUCCUCCCUGAUGGUUUUCACAGACAUUGAGGCUCUAUUUUCAGUCCACCUGGUGCUUCCUGGCCUCUCGCACUCUACAUCUGAAAGAAGUCAGAUGGAAGAAAUUUCUUCUACGGCUAACUUGAAAAACAAUCAGUUCUUUUAAAAUGUCGCUUUCAGUAUUGCUGUGUACUCCUUAUCACAGCUCGCUGUCUUCAGACCCAGUUACCUCCCCCAAAAGCGAGCAACUGAUCCAAGCAGAUGUUUUCUUAUCAAGAAUUCAUACCAGACCUAUUUAUUUUGAAUUAGCAUAUCUCAUUAACUGUCUCAAGGACACUGGCUGAAUUCAUCUUUUAACGAGUAUCUCAAAAAUCUAGCUUUUCAAAAGUGAAAUAUAACUGCAGAGAAUGUACAAUUAACCCCCUCGCUUCCAGUGCCUGGGUAGGAAGAUGCUGGAGGAUGGGGUUUUCUGCCUGGCCUUUGAGUGAAGCCACACAGACCUUUGGUGUUUUGGUGGGCGACAUGCCAGCCUGUCCUGAGGCCUGUGCAGAUGUGGGGUCACUGGAGCAGCCACCAGAGAUGCCGAAGGGCGGGACAGGCCAUGGGCCUGGGGCAGGAGGUGCUGAGGGCUGGCUCCAUCCAACAACCCCAGGCAUUCAUUGUGAAGUACUUCACUGUGAGCACGUCGGAGAGGGCAGGUGCUGCUCCUCGGCACAUCCACCACCAGCAUUUUGGGGUUCUGAGGCAGGGAAUUGAGCACCAAAAAGAGCAGGGGUGCCUCCUUCCCAUCUGCUGCACGGCUUGUAGCAUUGGGUCACUUUGUACUGGAGGUCUGACAGAUGCCGAGUCUGAAUUCAACAGAGAAAACUCAGGAUAAGCUUAUACUGUGCCUAAAGAGUUAAUCUGCAGAGCUCAGAAGUACCCCAUUUCUUUUCUUUACAUCUGACCGGCGAUCGUAAUCGUGGAUCAUGCAACAGAAUGUUGUCUUCCUGGAAUGGCGCACAAUAUGCUACUCUUUCCCUAAGCUUAUGUUAUUUUAUUAUGAGUAAUCAGUAAAAG
RNAcentral lists this long non-coding RNA (1175 nucleotides) under Numida meleagris (helmeted guineafowl). RNAcentral's name for it is "lncRNA (ENSNMEG00000021024.1)". The record is from RNAcentral. Lineage: Eukaryota; Metazoa; Chordata; Aves; Galliformes; Numididae.